GAUGAACGCUGGCGGCGUGCCUAAUACAUGCAAGUCGAGCGAACAGACGAGGAGCUUGCUCCUCUGACGUUAGCGGCGGACGGGUGAGUAACACGUGGAUAACCUACCUAUAAGACUGAGAUAACUUCGGGAAACCGGAGCUAAUACCGGAUAACAUGUUGAACCGCAUGGUUCAACAGUGAAAGACGGUUUUGCUGUCACUUAUAGAUGGAUCCGCGCCGCAUUAGCUAGUUGGUAAGGUAACGGCUUACCAAGGCAACGAUGCGUAGCCGACCUGAGAGGGUGAUCGGCCACACUGGAACUGAGACACGGUCCAGACUCCUACGGGAGGCAGCAGUAGGGAAUCUUCCGCAAUGGGCGAAAGCCUGACGGAGCAACGCCGCGUGAGUGAAGAAGGUCUUCGGAUCGUAAAACUCUGUUAUUAGGGAAGAACAAAUGUGUAAGUAACUAUGCACGUCUUGACGGUACCUAAUCAGAAAGCCACGGCUAACUACGUG
Molecule: ribosomal RNA, 497 nt
Filed under: uncultured bacterium
Lineage: Bacteria
Description: partial 16S ribosomal RNA
Rfam family: Bacterial small subunit ribosomal RNA
Source: RNAcentral